AAUCAGGCACUCUUGAAGAAGAUAGCAUAAAUAAAUUCUUUUAUAUUUUUAUAGAUGAGAAAAAAGGAAUAAAAAGUCAUUAUUGUUAUUAGACACACUUUGUUUGGUAGUGUGCUAGUAUUUGCUCCUUAGUGUGUAGGAGCUAAAAGGCAUGCAGUUCGCAUAAGCAGUUGAAACUCGUCAAUCAAAACUGGAGCCAUAUAAAUUCCAAUAAAAAGGUAAAAACAACAAAAGCAAGGCUGAUCAUUUAGGUGAAAAUGGGGAAAAGUUGAGUAUGAUUUACAAGGACAAAUGAGUUAAAUAAUAUUAGGAUGCAUGUUAGACGUAGCUAUUAUAGAAGAUCGAAGAACAUAAUCAUGUGAUUAGGAGAGUAAUGCCAGUUGUUGGAGGAAUCUUUGCUUCAAAUUCAAAGGACACUGCACUCUACCAAUUUGUUGCUCUGGCCCAUAAAUAUAUGCAAUGCUCAUUUACAUGUGAUGAGGCCGGACCGAUUGGCCCAGGCCUACCAUUCAACUCUUGAAAGACGUGCUGCUGGCUCGUCUCCGUCCAGCUUUCCUUCAAUUUAGUGUUCUUUCUUUCUUUCUUUCUUUCUUUCUUUUUUUUCUUCCAAAUCUAUUAGGUAAGCUUGCUUGGGUUGGGGUUAUAAAGAAAAGUAUCAGAUGAUUGUGUAAGCAUAUAUUGCAACCUCUCAAUUGUAAGAACAAAAAUAAAAAUGAUGACACUUAGAGUAGGCCCCCUAGCACAAGAACAAAUCCAGCAAAUCAAUCAUCUGUUCUUCUCUUAAUCCAAAAAAAGCGAAGACCAUUUCUCCAUUUUUCUCGUACUUUAUAAUAAUGGAAGCAAAAAGACUUUAAGGAGGAAGUUUCCGAAUCGUCGAAAGCCAACCAUUAAUGGGUGAGAAGAUGAGGAGGCGCUUAUAGGCUAUUAAAUGCAACCCAAGAAAACACCAAGUUUGCUUUCCGCUUUCGCACCCAAAUUGCCUGGCAUUUGGGCCACUUUCUAUGCAGGUUGUGUUUUGUAGAAAU
RNAcentral lists this long non-coding RNA (1025 nucleotides) under Ricinus communis (castor bean). Its description in RNAcentral is "long non-coding RNA (RCOM_LNC000523)". Lineage: Eukaryota; Viridiplantae; Streptophyta; Magnoliopsida; Malpighiales; Euphorbiaceae. The record is from RNAcentral.